Molecule: RNase P RNA, 313 nt
Filed under: Legionella birminghamensis
Lineage: Bacteria; Pseudomonadati; Pseudomonadota; Gammaproteobacteria; Legionellales; Legionellaceae
Description: partial ribonuclease P RNA
Rfam family: Bacterial RNase P class A
About the family: Ribonuclease P (RNase P) is a ubiquitous endoribonuclease, found in archaea, bacteria and eukarya as well as chloroplasts and mitochondria. Its best characterised activity is the generation of mature 5'-ends of tRNAs by cleaving the 5'-leader elements of precursor-tRNAs.
Source: RNAcentral
CGCUCUUUGCCAUGCAAGGGGAGGAAAGUCCGGGCUCCAUAGGAUAAAGUGCCAGGUAACGCCUGGGAGACGUGAGUUUACGGAAAGUGCCACAGAAAAUAUACCGCCAUAGAUUUCAUCUAUGGUAAGGGUGAAAUGGUGCGGUAAGAGCGCACCGCGCAACUGGCAACAGUUGUGGCAGGGUAAACCCCACUUGGAGCAAGACCAAAUAGGAAUCCAGCCGGUGAAUGCCGGAACGUAUGAUCCGUACGGGAUUCGGGUAGGUCGCUUGAGGCAUUCGGUGACGAAUGUCCCAGAUGAAUGAUUGUCCUUG